AUGCCGAUGGCCUAAUGGAUAAGGCGUCGGUUUCCGGAGCCGAAGAUUGUGGGCCGAGUCUUGCUCGGGAUG
This 72-nucleotide transfer RNA is filed under the name Hydatigera taeniaeformis. RNAcentral's name for it is "Taenia taeniaeformis tRNA". It matches the Rfam family "tRNA". Rfam says of the family: Transfer RNA (tRNA) molecules are approximately 80 nucleotides in length. Their secondary structure includes four short double-helical elements and three loops (D, anti-codon, and T loops). Further hydrogen bonds mediate the characteristic L-shaped molecular structure. tRNAs have two regions of fundamental functional importance: the anti-codon, which is responsible for specific mRNA codon recognition, and the 3' end, to which the tRNAs corresponding amino acid is attached (by aminoacyl-tRNA synthetases). tRNAs cope with the degeneracy of the genetic code in two manners: having more than one tRNA (with a specific anti-codon) for a particular amino acid; and 'wobble' base-pairing, i.e. permitting non-standard base-pairing at the 3rd anti-codon position. Lineage: Eukaryota; Metazoa; Platyhelminthes; Cestoda; Cyclophyllidea; Taeniidae. The record is from Rfam by way of RNAcentral.